CCUACGGGCGGCUGCAGGGAGGAAUAUUGGUCAAUGGGCGCGAGCCUGAACCAGCCAAGUCGCGUGAGGGAAGACGGUCCUAUGGAUUGUAAACCUCUUUUGUCGGGGAGCAAAAGACGCCACGCGUGGCGUUCCGAGAGUACCCGAAGAAAAAGCAUCGGCUAACUCCGUGCCAGCAGCCGCGGUAAUACGGAGGAUGCGAGCUUUAUCCGGAUGUAUGGGGUUUAAAGGGUGCGCAGGCGGAAGAUCAAGUCAGCGGUAAAAUUUAGAGGCUCAACCUCUUCGAGCCGUUGAAACUGGUUUUCUUGAGUGCGCUAGCAGUAUGCGGUAUGC
Molecule: ribosomal RNA, 333 nt
Filed under: uncultured bacterium
Lineage: Bacteria
Description: partial 16S ribosomal RNA
Rfam family: Bacterial small subunit ribosomal RNA
Source: RNAcentral